AUACGUAGGGUGCAAGCGUUAAUCGGAAUUACUGGGCGUAAAGCGUGCGCAGGCGGUUUUGUAAGACAGUGGUGAAAUCCCCGGGCUCAACCUGGGAACUGCCAUUGUGACUGCAAGGCUGGAGUGCGGCAGAGGGGGAUGGAAUUCCGCGUGUAGCAGUGAAAUGCGUAGAUAUGCGGAGGAAAACCGAUGGCGAAGGCAAUCCCCUGGGCCUGCACUGACGCUCAUGCACGAAAGCGUGGGGAGCAAACAGGAUUAGAUACCCUGGUAGUCCACGCCCUAAACGAUGUCAACUGGUUGUUGGGGAUUUAUUUUCUCAGUAACGAAGCUAACGCGUGAAGUUGACCGCCUGGGGAGUACGGCCGCAAGGUUAAAACUCAAAGGAAUUGACGGGG
This 395-nucleotide ribosomal RNA is filed under the name uncultured bacterium. RNAcentral's name for it is "partial 16S ribosomal RNA". It matches the Rfam family "Bacterial small subunit ribosomal RNA", at positions 523 to 918 of the family's 1533-position model. The record is from RNAcentral.